UGGUUCAGUUGGUAGAAUAUGGUGCUUGCUACACCAGGUGUGUGGGUUUGAUUCCCAC
Molecule: transfer RNA, 58 nt
Filed under: Oncorhynchus mykiss (rainbow trout)
Lineage: Eukaryota; Metazoa; Chordata; Actinopteri; Salmoniformes; Salmonidae
Rfam family: tRNA
About the family: Transfer RNA (tRNA) molecules are approximately 80 nucleotides in length. Their secondary structure includes four short double-helical elements and three loops (D, anti-codon, and T loops).
Source: Rfam by way of RNAcentral